CUGGAAAAUGAUGAUAGGAGUGAGGAAGAAAAAUACACAGCAGUUCAGAGAAAUUCCAGUGAACGUGAGGGGCACAGCAUAAACACUAGGUAUUUAAAGGAAAUCAUGAUGCAGUAUUUUGGAUACACAACUCAAGGGAAAAUAAAUAUAUUCCUCCUGGACAAAGAAAUAGAGAAGUCAUAUCCUGGGGAAGUGGGAGACAGAAUUCACCGCGUAUGGGCCAGCCUGGAUCGGGCUCCAUGCCAUCAAGAUCCACUUCUCACACUUCAGAUUUCAACCCGAAUUCUGGUUCAGACCAAAGAGUAGUUAAUGGAGGGCCUCCAAGGAUGUCCCCAAAGGCCCAGCGACAUCCUCGAAAUCACAGAGUUUCUGCUGGGAGGG
This 381-nucleotide non-coding RNA is filed under the name Pan troglodytes (chimpanzee). Lineage: Eukaryota; Metazoa; Chordata; Mammalia; Primates; Hominidae. RNAcentral also lists the same sequence under 1 other name. The record is from RNAcentral.